This 1397-nucleotide ribosomal RNA is filed under the name unidentified. RNAcentral describes it as "Platyura pectoralis partial 28S ribosomal RNA". It matches the Rfam family "Eukaryotic large subunit ribosomal RNA", at positions 402 to 1578 of the family's 3401-position model. The record is from RNAcentral.
AAACCGCUUAGGGGUUAAGCCCGAUGAACCUGAAUAUCUGAAUUGAGAAAUUCAAUAUUAUUUUAUUGUUUAUUUAUUUUAAAUAAUAAAUGGUAUGCACUUUUCUCAUAGUAAGACAUUGCGAUCCAUUAGUGUAUAUUAUACGGUUUAUCAAACGGCCCGUGUGUUUAGUUUAUUCUAUCUGUGAUAAUUUUUAAUUGUCAUAUGAAUAAUAGCAUUACGGUGACCUGGUAAACAGCUGAUGGAGCUUAAAAAUCAUGCAACCAUGCAUUAUAUGUAUCACGGUUUAUAUAUAUUUUAUAUGUGAAUGCAGUGAUCGCAUGUAUUUGAUUAGCAAUGCGAUAGAUUUGGGAUACCUUCGGGACCCGUCUUGAAACACGGACCAAGAAGUCUAACAUGUGUGCAAGUCAUUGGGUAUAUUGUUGAAACCUAAAGGCGAAAUUAAAAUAACUAUUUUUAUGGGAUUACAAGCAAUUUCUUUUAUUAAAAAUUGUUUCUCCAUCCCGGGGCGUUCUAUACGAACAUGAUUUAAGCAAUUGGAUCCUCUGUUCAAGAGCGUACCUUGAGCAUACAUGCUGUGACCCGAAAGAUGGUGAACUAUACCUGAUCAGGUUGAAGUCAGGGGAAACCCUGAUGGAGGACUGAAGCAGUUCUGACGUGCAAAUCGAUUGUCAGAAUUGGGUAUAGGGGCGAAAGACUAAUCGAACCAUCUAGUAGCUGGUUCCCUCCGAAGUUUCCCUCAGGAUAGCUGGUGCAAUGAGAAAUCUAAUAUAUAAUCUUAUCUGGUAAAGCGAAUGAUUAGAGGCCUUGGGGCCGAAACGACCUCAACCUAUUCUCAAACUUUAAAUGGGUAAGAACCUCAUCUUUCUUGAUCUGAAGAUAUAGGGGUUUAGAUAUAUUGUGCCCAGUGGGCCACUUUUGGUAAGCAGAACUGGCGCUGUGGGAUGAACCAAACGUGAUGUUACGGCGCCUAAAUUAAUGACUCAUAUUGAUACCAUGAAAGGCGUUGGUUGCUUAAAACAGCAGGUCGGUGGACAUGGAAGUUGUAAUCCGCUAAGGAGUGUGUAACAACUCACCUGCCGAAGCAACUAGCCCUUAAAAUGGAUGGCGCUCAAGUCAUAUGCCUAUACAUCACCGCUAGAAUAAAAAAAUUUUUUUAUUUCAUUAUGAAAUUUGAAAAUUUAUCAAAUUCUAGUGAGUAGGAGGGUACAAUGGUGUGCGCAGAAGUGUUUGGCGUAGGCCUGCAUGGAGCCGCCAUUGGCACAGAUCUUGGUGGUAGUAGCAAAUAAUCGAAUGAGAUCUUGGAGGACUGAAGUGGAGAAGGGUUUCGUGUGAACAGUGGUUGAUCACGAGUUAGUCGGUCCUAAGCUCUAUGCGAAAGCUGUUUAAUUUAUGUA